UCGGAAGCUAAGCAGGGUCGGGCCUGGUUAGUACUUGGGUAGGAGACUGCCUGGGAAUACCAGGUGCUGUAAGCUU
RNAcentral lists this ribosomal RNA (76 nucleotides) under Coregonus artedi (cisco). The record is from RNAcentral. Lineage: Eukaryota; Metazoa; Chordata; Actinopteri; Salmoniformes; Salmonidae. RNAcentral also lists the same sequence under 1 other name.